Paramacrobiotus metropolitanus is the source of this 649-nucleotide long non-coding RNA. RefSeq lists it as uncharacterized. The transcript is spliced from 3 exons. The record is from RefSeq and is a predicted model, not a curated record. NCBI's taxonomy places the organism in Eukaryota, Metazoa, Tardigrada, Eutardigrada, Parachela, Macrobiotidae.
CACCUGAAAUUUGGCCUGGAAACUGAUUACUUGCGCAGCAUGCGGUUGGAAAGAUAGUACGAUAAAAAUGAAUGCAGAAACCGGUCGCCCAAGCUAGAUGAUCCGUUCCGAAGCCCUGCAACUUGCAUGCCGGUCAACGAAUUUGGACGCAAGAUCACUGGUUGCGCAACCAACAUGGGACUGUUUCCGGUAAGUAUGGGGAACUAAUCAUCGCGCGCUGAUCAUAUAAACAUUCAUUAAUCCAUCAAGCAGUGUUAUCGGGCAAUGGGAACGUCAGGGCCAAGAAAUGUUUAGAUACGGCGCAGUAGCUGAACAUUUCUCUACCAUCUCUUUCCCACCAAGAAUACUGCAUGACAGUACGAGUACAUAAUGAAGAAACGGACGCCCAACAGCAACAGACCGCACACGGAAAAGUGGGAAAUGCAAGUACGGUGCCGGUUUCCUGUACACAACAGCCGUCAACGUUGCGCAGUUCAACCGCAAAACGGCAAUUUGCUGAAACGUUCCCUUUUGUAACAACAGCUGCUGAUAGCGAUCUACCGGAAAAUUAGCUCAAAAACCAACAAAUUUUAUUUUUUUGCGGUUCCAUAGUGAUUAAAAAUCCGCCAUGAUUCUCAUUACUGCAAAUCGUUAUUUACCCUAUUGUGAA